AUGAUAAGCAGACGGGCACGCGCCGCCGGCGCGCUUGCCGUGGGUGUCCGCUUCGCCCGAGCCCAGGAGUGGGGCAAGGCGUCGCGGCGGCGUUCCUACGCGCCUUGUCGCCCUCGAAGCUGGCCUUGGCGGGCCGAGGCGUCGCGGCAAGGCGGCCGGCGUGCUCUGUUGGGGCGAGGCGUCGCGGCGCUCCGGCUCCGGCAGAUGACGACAGAGAGCCAGGUGUGGCUUGGCGUCGCCAAGAGCCACGAGGUCGUCGGCGCCGGCCACCGCGCCAGGCUGGACCAGCUGCUGCAGCCCUCCUGCGCCGUCGCCGUCGCCGUGGCACAAGAAGCGCGAGUUCCCCCUCGUUGUCGGAGGCUUGGUGUCGUUCUGUAG
This 378-nucleotide ribosomal RNA is filed under the name Triticum aestivum (bread wheat). RNAcentral describes it as "partial small subunit ribosomal RNA". The record is from RNAcentral. Lineage: Eukaryota; Viridiplantae; Streptophyta; Magnoliopsida; Poales; Poaceae.